UAACCAUGCAGUGGUAUGCGUGUGGUACUGUGUGGUGAGUUUACUUUGCAUUUCCCUGAUGACUAGUGAAGGAAGAAGAUUAAGCCCAGAAAAUCAGGGCGGGAACUUGAGCCUGAAGCAGGGAAAAUGGGAUGGUUCUGGGGCUCAAAACCCCUCAUGUUUGCAAAGACGUCACAGGGGGCCGCAAGCUGUGCAGCCGCCCAGCUCAGCUACCAGGUAUCCUGGAGAGCCUGCUGCGUCAGUAUAAGAAACAGCUCUAUAAUCUUCAUGGUGUGUCUGUACUGGGCAAUCUAAUCAUUCCCUAUCGGAAGUCAUGUCAAGUUAUUACUACUUAUAAAAAAAUUUAAGAUAAUGCUAUAAUAAACAAUUGGCACUUGC
Lutra lutra (Eurasian river otter) is the source of this 378-nucleotide long non-coding RNA. RefSeq lists it as uncharacterized. The record is from RefSeq and is a predicted model, not a curated record. Lineage: Eukaryota; Metazoa; Chordata; Mammalia; Carnivora; Mustelidae. The transcript is spliced from 3 exons.